UACGAGUCUGACGAACGUUAUUCGGAAUUACUGGGCUUAAAGGGUGCGUAGGCGGUGGAGUAAGUCGGAUGUGAAAUACCUUAGCUCAACUAAGGAACUGCACUCGAUACUACUUUGCUAGAGUAAGACAGAGGUGAGUGGAACUGAGGGUGGAGCGGUGAAAUGCGUUGAUAUCCUCAGGAACACCGGUGGCGAAGGCGACUCACUGGGUCUUUACUGACGCUGAUGCACGAAAGCUAGGGUAGCAAACGGG
This 253-nucleotide ribosomal RNA is filed under the name uncultured bacterium. RNAcentral describes it as "partial 16S ribosomal RNA". It matches the Rfam family "Bacterial small subunit ribosomal RNA", at positions 524 to 776 of the family's 1533-position model. The record is from RNAcentral.